RNAcentral lists this non-coding RNA (112 nucleotides) under Streptomyces autolyticus. RNAcentral describes it as "Glycine sequence". It matches the Rfam family "Glycine riboswitch aptamer". From Rfam's summary of the family: This family represents the bacterial glycine riboswitch. RNAcentral also lists the same sequence under 1 other name. The record is from RNAcentral. Lineage: Bacteria; Bacillati; Actinomycetota; Actinomycetes; Kitasatosporales; Streptomycetaceae.
UGAAUCCGCGCGGGAGAGUCCUUGGUCACCGGCAUCCAUGCCGGGCGUCCAGGGCGCCGAAGGAGCAAGCCCUCCCUUGAAUCUCUCAGGCCCCUGAUACCGCGCGGACGAG